Long non-coding RNA from Coturnix japonica (Japanese quail), 1258 nucleotides. Lineage: Eukaryota; Metazoa; Chordata; Aves; Galliformes; Phasianidae. The record is from Ensembl.
GAGAGGAAAUAGAGCUGAGACUCUGGAGACCUAAUACACAAGAGGAGCACAUCCUUGAAUCAGGGGGAACCUUGGAAAAGAGAAACUCAGAGUCCAAAGAUGUCUGCCGAAGUAUCCAUCCAUCACAAAAUGGACUGACCAGCCAAGAAAUGAACAGAUCUCUCAGCUGCCAUGGCCACUGCAACGUGAGAUGAACUGACAGAGAUGUCCAGAGUGUAUUGUAGAUACUCCUUUGGGAACGCCCUUAGGACAUGUCUGAAAUGGGAGGGCAUGGGAUAUUGCCUUAAACCUGACCACUUUUUGACAAGCUGAUCCUAUACUUAACAGAAGCUUGGAUACAAAUCUCUAUUCUUUUACAUGUAACAAUAACUUCAGAGCAAGAACACAGAGAGAUAAAGACAUUGGAACAUCAACUUUCUUCUUCCCUCUCAAGAGAUAAUACACUUUUUCAGGGCAACUCUAUGAUGGUUUCCAAAAUACUUUUAAGAACUUUCAUGGUCUUUGUAUCUAAGGCUUCCCACGUUGCACAAACAACAAAAACUCAACUUGUAUGGGGGUGGGAAUUCACACAAUAACUCCAGCAUGAAAAAUAUCUUACUCUCUUUUUAGAACAUUAGGCCCGAGGGAUAGAUACUGUACAAAUGCCUUUUUGUCUUUACGUAUUUCCUUUAAGAAAAUUGUGCUACACCCAAAGAAAUAUCAUAUGAGAGAAUUUUUGCUGAUCCCUUCAGCAUGAAAUUAGUGCCUACACAUACAGAGGAAUGCUGUGAAGUAGUACCAAUUACUUUUCAGGACAAAAUCACAGUUCAAAUAAUGUAGAACAGAAUCCGGUGACACAAAAACACACGGUUUUCAGACUAUAAUAUGCAACUAAGUUGUUUCUCCCCACAGAUCUUGCAGCUCUAUUUUAAAAAUAGCAAACCAUUUUUAGGUAUUCUGGUUUUCAAGGGUUCACACUGAUAAAACUUUCAAGGAGUUUAUUAAGAGGAUGUUUACUCAACAUUUUUUAAACUUACAGUUUUACACUUCAGCCAAUGAAUCUUGUUAUAGUAUAUAGCCAAUAAUUUAGAAUCAUAGAAUCACAAGGCUGGAAAGGAUCUACAAGAUCAUCUAGUUCUACCAUCCUCCCAUUACCAUUGCUACCACAUGCAACUAAACAAGGUCUUGUAGCUCCUCAUCCAGACUCCUCUAGAACGCUGCCAGAGAUGGUAACUCCACCACCUUCCUGGGCAGACAUUCCAGUGCCUGACCACUUUCU